CUGAACGGGUGGAGCAGGGAUGACGAAGAUGUUGGCGUCGGGGAUCUCCAUGAGGGCCUGCUGGAUCGCGUCCAGUUCGUUCAGG
RNAcentral lists this transfer RNA (85 nucleotides) under Caulifigura coniformis. RNAcentral's name for it is "Planctomycetes bacterium Pan44 tRNA-Asn". Lineage: Bacteria; Pseudomonadati; Planctomycetota; Planctomycetia; Planctomycetales; Planctomycetaceae. The record is from RNAcentral.